AUUUAAAUAGCUUAAAUAAAAGCAUAAUAUUGAAGAUAUUAAGAUAUCAUUUGUUUUUAAAUA
This 63-nucleotide transfer RNA is filed under the name Muda kuroiwae. Its description in RNAcentral is "tRNA-Phe". The record is from RNAcentral. Lineage: Eukaryota; Metazoa; Arthropoda; Insecta; Hemiptera; Cicadidae.